AUUGAACGCUGGCGGCAGGCCUAACACAUGCAGGUCGAGCGCGAAAGGCUUUCGGGCUGAGUAGAGCGGCGGACGGGUGAGUAACGCGUAGGAAUCUACCUGGUAGUGGGGGACAACUUGGGGAAACUCAAGCUAAUACCGCAUACGCCCCAAGGGGGAAAGCGGGGGACCUUCGGGCCUCGCGCUAUCAGAUGAGCCUGCGUAGGAUUAGCUAGUUGGUGAGGUAAAGGCUCACCAAGGCGACGAUCCUUAGCUGGUCUGAGAGGAUGAUCAGCCACACUGGGACUGAGACACGGCCCAGACUCCUACGGGAGGCAGCAGUGGGGAAUAUUGCGCAAUGGGGGCAACCCUGACGCAGCCAUGCCGCGUGUGUGAAGAAGGCCUCGG
This 387-nucleotide ribosomal RNA is filed under the name uncultured bacterium. RNAcentral's name for it is "bacterial SSU rRNA". It matches the Rfam family "Bacterial small subunit ribosomal RNA", at positions 29 to 420 of the family's 1533-position model. The record is from RNAcentral.